Molecule: transfer RNA, 64 nt
Filed under: Camelus ferus (Wild Bactrian camel)
Lineage: Eukaryota; Metazoa; Chordata; Mammalia; Artiodactyla; Camelidae
Rfam family: tRNA
About the family: Transfer RNA (tRNA) molecules are approximately 80 nucleotides in length.
Source: Rfam by way of RNAcentral
GAAGGUGUAGCUCAGAGGUAGAGCGUGUGCUUAGUAUACACGAGUUCAAUCCCCAGUACCUUCA